CCUACGGGGGGCUGCAGUAAGGAAUAUUGGUCAAUGGACGCAAGUCUGAACCAGCCAUGCCGCGUGGAGGAUGAAGGUCCUCUGGAUUGUAAACUUCUUUUAUUUGGGAAGAAACCCACGUUUUCUAUUGUGGUUGACGGUCCCAGAUGAAUAAGCACCGGCUAACUCCGUGCCAGCAGCCGCGGUAAUACGGAGGGUGCAAGCGUUAUCCGGAUUCACUGGGUUGUAGGCGUGCGUGUAAGUGCAGGGUGAAAGCCCCGGGCUUAACUUGGGAACUGCCGUUGAUACUAUCUGUCUUGAAUACUGUGGAGGUAAGCGGAAUAUGUCAUGUAGCGGUGAAAUGCUUAGAUAUGACAUAGAACACCUAUGGCGAAGGCAGCUUGCUACACAGUCAUUGACGCUGAGGCACGAAAGCGUGGGGAUCAAACAGGAUUAGAUACCCGAGUAGUC
RNAcentral lists this ribosomal RNA (450 nucleotides) under uncultured bacterium. Its description in RNAcentral is "partial 16S ribosomal RNA". It matches the Rfam family "Bacterial small subunit ribosomal RNA", at positions 338 to 795 of the family's 1533-position model. The record is from RNAcentral.